AGUGAACGCUGGCGGUAGGCCUAACACAUGCAAGUCCAACGGCAGCACAGUAAGAGCUUGCUCUUACGGGUGGCGAGUGGCGGACGGGUGAGGAAUACAUCGGAAUCUACUUUUUCGUGGGGGAUAACGUAGGGAAACUUACGCUAAUACCGCAUACGACCUACGGGUGAAAGCAGGGGAUCUUCGGACCUUGCGCGAUUGAAUGAGCCGAUGUCGGAUUAGCUAGUUGGCGGGGUAAAGGCCCACCAAGGCGACGAUCCGUAGCUGGUCUGAGAGGAUGAUCAGCCACACUGGAACUGAGACACGGUCCAGACUCCUACGGGAGGCAGCAGUGGGGAAUAUUGGACAAUGGGCGCAGGCCUGAUCCAGCCAUACCGCGUGGGUGAAGAAGGCCUUCGGGUUGUAAAGCCCUUUUGUUGGGAAAGAAAAGCAGCAGGUUAAUACCCCGCUGUUCUGACGGUACCCAAAGAAUAAGCACCGGCUAACUUCGUG
Molecule: ribosomal RNA, 492 nt
Filed under: uncultured bacterium
Lineage: Bacteria
Description: partial 16S ribosomal RNA
Rfam family: Bacterial small subunit ribosomal RNA
Source: RNAcentral